This 215-nucleotide unclassified non-coding RNA is filed under the name Hevea brasiliensis (rubber tree). The record is from RNAcentral. Lineage: Eukaryota; Viridiplantae; Streptophyta; Magnoliopsida; Malpighiales; Euphorbiaceae.
GGAAAGGAGAGUAAACUUGGGAUUUGUGGAGCAUACACUAGUCUCCACCUAGCCUGACCAAAUUCACCUUUUCCUUCGAUUCUGGGCAUUAGUUUCUCAAGCGUAGCAGUUGCAAGCUUCUUCAAGGCUAAUUGGCCAUCGCCCUCCAAUAUUGAUUCUGCCAAUUGGUUCUCAAAUGCCCGAGCAGCCUCGGUGGGUGAGAGAGCAUCUUGUUC